GAUGAAGAACGUAGCGAAAUGCGAUACGUAAUGUGAAUUGCAGAAUUCAGUGAAUCAUCGAAUCUUUGAACGCAUAUUGCGCUCUUUGGUAUUCCGAAGAGCAUGCUUGUUUGAGUAUCAGUAAACACCUCAAAGCUUUUGGAUUUUUUAAUCGAAAAGCUUUGGACUUGAGCAAUCCCAACACCAAUCUUUUUGAGAUCGGUGGCGGGUUGCUUGAAAUGCAGGUGCAGCUGGACAUUCUCCUGAGCUAAAAGCAUAUUCAUUUAGUCCCGUCAAACGGAUUAUUACUUUUGCUGCAGCUAACAUAAAGCGAGUUUGACCGUAUUGGCUGACUGAUGCAGGAUUUCACAAGGGUCGGCAACGAUUCUUGUUAAACUCGAUCUCAAAUCAAGUAAGACUACCCGCUGAACUUAAGCAUAUCAAUAAGCGGAGGA
Molecule: unclassified non-coding RNA, 434 nt
Filed under: soil metagenome
Description: partial contains 5.8S ribosomal RNA, internal transcribed spacer 2, and large subunit ribosomal RNA
Rfam family: 5.8S ribosomal RNA (bases 1-120)
Source: RNAcentral